RNAcentral lists this ribosomal RNA (900 nucleotides) under uncultured Sphingobacteriales bacterium. RNAcentral's name for it is "bacterial SSU rRNA". It matches the Rfam family "Bacterial small subunit ribosomal RNA", at positions 28 to 936 of the family's 1533-position model. Lineage: Bacteria; Pseudomonadati; Bacteroidota; Sphingobacteriia; Sphingobacteriales. The record is from RNAcentral.
GAUGAACGCUAGCGGCAGGCUUAACACAUGCAAGUCGAGGGGUAUAGUAGCAAUACUAGAGACCGGCGCACGGGUGCGUAACGCGUAUGCAAUCUACCUUUUGCAGAGAGAUAGCCCAGAGAAAUUUGGAUUAAUACCUCAUAGUAUAAUUGAAUGGCAUCAUUUAAUUAUUAAAGUCACAACGGCAAAAGAUGAGCAUGCGUCCCAUUAGUUAGUUGGUAAGGUAACGGCUUACCAAGACAACGAUGGGUAGGGGUCCUGAGAGGGAGAUCCCCCACACUGGUACUGAGACACGGACCAGACUCCUACGGGAGGCAGCAGUGAGGAAUACUGGACAAUGGGCGCAAGCCUGAUCCAGCCAUGCCGCGUGCAGGAAGACGGUCCUAUGGAUUGUAAACUGCUUUUGCACAGGAAGAAACAUCCCGACGUGUCGGGACUUGACGGUACUGUGAGAAUAAGGAUCGGCUAACUCCGUGCCAGCAGCCGCGGUAAUACGGAGGAUCCAAGCGUUAUCCGGAAUCAUUGGGUUUAAAGGGUCCGUAGGCGGCUUUAUAAGUCAGUGGUGAAAUCUCCCCGCUCAACGGGGAAACGGCCAUUGAUACUGUAAGGCUUGAAUUAUUAGGAAGUAACUAGAAUAUGUAGUGUAGCGGUGAAAUGCUUAGAGAUUACAUGGAAUACCAAUUGCGAAGGCAGGUUACUACUAAUGGAUUGACGCUGAUGGACGAAAGCGUGGGUAGCGAACAGGAUUAGAUACCCUGGUAGUCCACGCCGUAAACGAUGGAUACUAGCUGUUGGGAGCAAUCUCAGUGGCUAAGCGAAAGUGAUAAGUAUCCCACCUGGGAAGUACGUUCGCAAGAAUGAAACUCAAAGGAAUUGACGGGGGCCCGCACAAGCGGUGGA